Molecule: microRNA precursor, 86 nt
Organism: Nomascus leucogenys (northern white-cheeked gibbon)
Lineage: Eukaryota; Metazoa; Chordata; Mammalia; Primates; Hylobatidae
Gene: MIR515-1
Product: microRNA 515-1
Source: Ensembl
UCUCAUGCAGUCAUUCUCCAAAAGGAAGCACUUUCUGUUGUCUAAAGCAAGCAGAGUGCCUUCUUUUGGAGCGUUACUGUUUGAGA